GACGAACGCUGGCGGCGUGCUUAACACAUGCAAGUCGAACGGAAAGGCCCUGCUUUUGUGGGGUGCUCGAGUGGCGAACGGGUGAGUAACACGUGAGUAACCUGCCCUUGACUUUGGGAUAACUUCAGGAAACUGGGGCUAAUACCGGAUAGGAGCUCCUGCUGCAUGGUGGGGGUUGGAAAGUUUCGGCGGUUGGGGAUGGACUCGCGGCUUAUCAGCUUGUUGGUGGGGUAGUGGCUUACCAAGGCUUUGACGGGUAGCCGGCCUGAGAGGGUGACCGGCCACAUUGGGACUGAGAUACGGCCCAGACUCCUACGGGAGGCAGCAGUGGGGAAUAUUGCACAAUGGGCGGAAGCCUGAUGCAGCAACGCCGCGUGCGGGAUGACGGCCUUCGGGUUGUAAACCGCUUUCGCCUGUGACGAAGCGUGAGUGACGGUAAUGGGUAAAGAAGCACCGGCUAACUACGUGCCAGCAGCCGCGGUGAUACGUAGGGUGCGAGCGUUGUCCGGAUUUAUUGGGCGUAAAGGGCUCGUAGGUGGUUGAUCGCGUCGGAAGUGUAAUCUUGGGGCUUAACCCUGAGCGUGCUUUCGAUACGGGUUGACUUGAGGAAGGUAGGGGAGAAUGGAAUUCCUGGUGGAGCGGUGGAAUGCGCAGAUAUCAGGAGGAACACCAGUGGCGAAGGCGGUUCUCUGGGCCUUUCCUGACGCUGAGGAGCGAAAGCGUGGGGAGCGAACAGGCUUAGAUACCCUGGUAGUCCACGCUGUAAACGGUGGGUACUAGGUGUGGGGUCCAUUCCACGGGUUCCGUGCCGUAGCUAACGCUUUAAGUACCCCGCCUGGGGAGUACGGCCGCAAGGCUAAAACUCAAGGGAAUUGACGGGGCCCCGCACAAGCGGCGGAGCAUGCGGAUUAAUUCGAUGCAACGCGUAGAACCUUACCUGGGUUUGACAUGGAUCGGGAGUGCUCAGAGAUGGGUGUGCCUCUUUUGGGGUCGGUUCACAGGUGGUGCAUGGCUGUCGUCAGCUCGUGUCGUGAGAUGUUGGGUUAAGUCCCGCAACGAGCGCAACCCUUGUUCACUGUUGCCAGCACGUUAUGGUGGGGACUCAGUGGAGACCGCCGGGGUCAACUCGGAGGAAGGUGGGGAUGACGUCAAGUCAUCAUGCCCCUUAUGUCCAGGGCUUCACGCAUGCUACAAUGGCUGGUACAGAGAGUGGCGAGCCUGCGAGGGUGAGCGAAUCUCGGAAAGCCGGUCUCAGUUCGGAUUGGGGUCUGCAACUCGACCUCAUGAAGUCGGAGUCGCUAGUAAUCGCAGAUCAGCAACGCUGCGGUGAAUACGUUCCCGGG
Molecule: ribosomal RNA, 1343 nt
Filed under: uncultured bacterium
Lineage: Bacteria
Description: 16S ribosomal RNA
Rfam family: Bacterial small subunit ribosomal RNA
Source: RNAcentral